RNA transcript from Phyllopteryx taeniolatus (common seadragon), 7083 nucleotides. It is a transcript of the gene named RAD54 homolog B, with no coding region annotated. Lineage: Eukaryota; Metazoa; Chordata; Actinopteri; Syngnathiformes; Syngnathidae. The transcript is spliced from 17 exons. The record is from RefSeq and is a predicted model, not a curated record.
GAAAAAUAAAGCGGAAGAGAAACAAAUCAGUCGUGAGCAGACGAGAGAAGCUCAAGUAAGGUUUAACGAACACGGUAAUGGCGUCUACUAGCUAGGAGCAAUUUUGACAGACAGCGGUUGAUAUCAUGAGGCGCUCAGCAGCUCCCAGCCAGCUUCGGGGUAAUGCUGCAAAAAAGCCUCGUUUUGUGCCUCCCGGAGCUGCUGCUUCAUGUACUGGUGCCGAAACCAAGCCCCACUUCCCUAAACCUGCCUUGGACAAUGCCUUGAAUAAGGUCCAAAGAAGUGUAGCGGCUCCACCUCCCGACAAAAGUGGAUACGCUGUCCGGCCAGCACCAGCUUUGUCAAAGGCUCUGGCCAGAGUGCUCAAUGCAACAGAAAGUAAGGAGAAUGUUGCUGUGACAGAACAUCCGAGCGCCGCCUGGCAGGAGCUCACAACACCGCGAGAAAACAGAGGGGCAGGCCUCCCUCAAACAUGCGGCGCUUCAAAUCCGGCCCCAAAUGCAGACCUGAGCCGGGACACGGUGCGGUACUUCAGCGUGAUGUGGUGUAAGGCCAGCAAGAAGAAACACAAGCGCUGGGAGGGGGACGCCGUGCUGGUGACGAGGGGCCGCACGGCCACCCUCAAAGAUAUGGAGGGCAAGGACAUUGGACAGGGUAGCGGCUACAAAAUGUCAGUGCUGGCCUCUCUGGCUGAAGGAGAAACCCUGAUGAUCGGAGCCAAGGAGGUGGAGGUUAUGGGAGUCAUAUCCGCAGAAACCUUCGCCACGGGACGUUGUUUCCAAGAAGCUCGGGUAGACGGAGAAGAGCUGCUCCAGAAGAGGGCGCCCCCUCCUUCCCAUCGCUUGGCGUCAAAACCUUUCUGCCCCCCAACGCUGUCGGGGAGAGCAGAGCAUCUUGGAUCUCAACCAAGGGAGGAACAGAUCCGCAGACCUCGCUAUGAUCCACAAGCUCUCGGCGCUCUGGUGAUGCCUCGGCCCGCUCCCAACCACCAGUGGUCUCAUAACAAGUUAGGGCUUCCGGUAGUUGAUGUUGUGGUUGACCCGCACCUGACGGCCCACCUGCGCCCCCAUCAGAGAGACGGCCUGCUCUUUCUCUACGAAUGUGUCAUGGGCAUGAGAGCCGCAGGACGCCACGGGGCCAUCCUGGCCGACGAGAUGGGUCUGGGGAAGAGCCUCCAGAGCGUGGCGCUGUGCUGGACCUUGCUCAAGCAGGGGCCGUACGGAGGGAAAGCGGUGGCCAAGCGGGUGCUGGUGGUCACUCCCGGCAGCCUCGUGCAGAACUGGGCUGCCGAGUUCAACAAGUGGCUCGGCCGUGAGAGGAUCGCCGUUUUCACAGUGGAUCGGGAUCACAGGAUUGAGCAGUUUGUGUUGUCCCCUGUGCACAAUGUUCUCGUGAUCAGCUACGAGAUGCUUCUGCGCUGCCUCGAGCAGGUGCAAAAAGUGGAGUUCGGUCUUAUCAUCUGCGACGAGGGUCACAGAUUAAAGAACAGCAGCAUCAAAACGUCCUCGGCCCUCAGCAGCCUGAGCUGCGCUCGCAGGGUCAUACUAACGGGCACCCCAGUGCAGAAUGAUUUGCAGGAGUUCUACGCCAUCAUCGAGUUUGUUAAUCCGGGCAUACUCGGCUCCAGCGCUGCGUAUAGGAAGGUGUUUGAAGAGCCCAUUCUUCGUUCCAGGCAGCCUUCCUGCUCCGAGGACGAUCGAGCCUUGGGAGACGAGCGAGCGUCUGAGCUCUCCCGACUUACCGGCGCGUUCAUCCUGAGGAGGACGCAGGAGAUCAUCAACCGCUACCUGCCGCCGCGCCUCGACUGGACCUUGUUCUGCAGGCCGUCCCCGCCGCAGCGAGAGAUCUACAGGCAUCUUCUGAGCCACAGAGUCUUCAGAGCCUGCCUCCAGGGCUCCGCGCAAGCACACACGCACUUGGCCUGCAUCACCGCCCUGAAAAAGCUGUGUAACCACCCUGCUCUGCUUCACACCACCAUCCCGGACAAAAUGAAAUGUGAAUCAGAGGAGAGCUCAUUAUAUGACGGCCUCGCACCGUUUUUCUCCGAAACCUACUCUUCAGAGAGCUUAAACCCUGCUGACUCGGGGAAACUUUUGGUUCUGUUGGACCUCCUGAAGACCAUCAGACGGCUCAGCCCAUCAGACAGGGCGGUUGUGGUGUCCAACUACACUCAGACGCUGGACAUGCUACAGAGGUUUUGCGUGCACAUGAGCUACACGUUCUGUCGGCUCGACGGACAAACGCCCACCGGCCAGAGGCAGCGGCUGGUCGACCGCUUCAACAGCCCUUAUUCUCCCAGUUUCCUGUUUCUGCUCAGCUCCAAAGCUGGUGGCGUAGGGCUUAAUCUGGUGGGGGCUUCCCACCUGGUGCUCUAUGACCUUGACUGGAACCCUGCCACUGAUAUCCAGGCUAUGGCUCGAGUGUGGCGAGACGGACAGAAGAAAACCGUGCACACCUACCGUCUCCUCACUGCAGGCACGAUUGAGGAGCGCAUAUUCCAGCGGCAGGUGUCCAAACAGGGGCUUUCUGGGGCAGUGGUGGACCUCGGCAAAGGCUCCGAGCACGCCAGCUUCUCCGCCAGCGAGCUGCGAGAUCUCUUCAGCCUGACGGACACGCCCUCUCUUACCCACGACCUGUUGAACUGCGGCUGUGACAUGGAUGGCUCGCUCAACGAUGUGAAAGAGGAAGAGGAGCAGUCUUCUGAAAAUCGGCCACGCCAACUCGGCCGCGACCGCGGCGCGUCGGCUCAGAAGCACCUCAGCAUGUCCGAGCUGAUGCAGUGGAGACAUUUCUCCGGAGAAGCCGACACCUUCUCUGACCCUUACCUCGAUCACGCCCGAGACCACAUCACCUUUGCCUUCCAGACCAUCUCGCACGUGGAACAAUAACCACCACUGUUUGCUACCAAGAAAAGAUGAUUUUGUCAGGCAAACAUGAACUCUCCUAAAUAUCCAGCAUUAAACAUAAACAGAGAGAGUUACAAAUUUACCAGCAUUAUUGGGUUGUAGUGUAGAAGCGCAUUCAUCAUACUGAAAUGUGUUGUGACAUGCCUCACCUCACCUCUCUGUGAGUGCAACUGUGUCCUUUUACCCCACUGUAACAUGCGCAAACACAACUGAGCAGCAUUAUCUUUGUAAGUCCUCCUUAAAGUGGGUAAGGUGUCUAAAAAAAAAACCGGAGUUUAAUUGAAAUGGAGAAACAGGAUGGCUGGCGUUGUUCCUGGGUUAACAGAGGAUCUCAGAUUGUGCUGGUGUCCCUAAUGUUUUGUCUGGGCUCGUGUGCCGCUCACGCAGAGUUCCUGCGUCAUCCAUUGAAGGUAAUAUGGACGACAGCAGUUCGUCUUAAUGAUGAGGCAUGUUUAGGUGCUGGGAGUUCAUGCAAAGCAUCAAUUCGGAAUAAUCUCGGUUACACUCUCCUGCGUUGUAACUUUUCCGCCAUGAGUUGACACUUUUCACAGAACAAUAAGCUUUGCCGCGGUGACGCGGUCUCAUCCUGUGACCUUCCACUUGACGGUCCAGUGAUGCGGGACGCUCGUCGCCCUCGUUUGCCGGCGCUGCGUGGGAGUUACGUGCGUGAGUGUUCUGCGUGUGCUGUGCGUGGUUUGUAUUCAACUGCGCUUUUACAUAAAAGGGCUAAUUAUUAUUUACCAGGCAACUCUUGCGCAAUAACUACGCUUCUGGGAUGGUCUGCUUUUCUCAUGAGAGGCGCUCCAUUAACUCCCAGGAUUAUUACUCUUGAUCCCCUUGUGAUGCCUGUAAUAGUCAGUUCCUUUCGCUCUAAUUAGAUGAUGUGUUGAUGGUGAUGUUGCUUGAUCUGGUUGUGCUAUCCGAAUAUCAAACUCGUAAUAUUUGACCCACAAGUGAAUGGUGGACAAGUUUCAGCAUUGCAACUGUCACAAAAUGACACUUCCCACUAUUGGCUCAUCGAACAAAAGUGCCUCUUCUCAUAUGGCUUUACUACAAUUAGUUGUAAAAUUAGGAUUUAGUACCAUGUCGUCCGCUAUACUUAUGUUUUUACAUCUCAUAAAAAAAAAAAAAAAAAAAACACGCAUUUUAAUUAAUGUCAUGAUAGAUGAGAUUAGCUGGUGACCAGUCAAAGAUGUACUCCAGCACUUGGCCAGAAUCGUGUGGGAUCGGUUCCCACUCACGCCACUCGAAUGACGGCAAGCGCUAUUUUUUUUUUCGUUGGUGUUGUUUUUAAAUGAUGAAAGAAUUGAGUGUUUUUGUGAUUAGAUAUGACCUAUGUUUGGAAUGCAGAACAGCCUAGAUGUUUGUGGAGUCUAUUGCAGGGGAUUGGAGUACAUUUCCUAACCAUCAAUUAUUUGAUUUUUUUUUUUUUUUUAUCGUUAGCGUCGAAUAGCUAUCAAAUUACAGUCACCGCAUUCUGACAGGGUCGUUAAAGAAUAUUCAGGUAAUACUUGUAUUUAUUAUAAUAAUUUAGAAUUAGAAUCUUCAAUGUACUAUUCUACUAAAUAGAAGAGGCGAAGUUCUCGCUGAACUUAACUUGAACGACUAAAUCUCCCCUGUAUACGCAACUCUCUCUCGUUAGUUUUGUAAUUGUGUAUCAGUAUUUAUAAAAUGUGACUAAUACUAUUCUAAAGGAGUGUUGUGCCUCCAGGCGCCUCCCAGUGUUGGCCUGGCCCAGCUGCCAGGCCAGUAUUGCUGGGAAUAUGGUAUCGUGUGUGCCAAUAUGCCAGGGUGGUUUACAUGCACGUCGUUCCUGUGUGGAGUCCCCACCCCCCACCCCCAACCGAAGACUCCAAAUUGUUCGUCGGUAUGUCUGCAAGUAUCUAUAACGGGCCCUGCGAUUGUCUGGCAACCACUUGGCCUGUCUGCCAAAGUCAACUCAGCCGCGAUAGGUUCCAGUUUUUCUGAGCUUCAGCGUUGCUACUGAACACGUGUCAGACAAACGAGUGUCACUCGUCCGAUUGAUCCGAACGGUGUCUCGGGGGCGUGUGUCUGAUGGGUGCACGGGAUGGAAUUUUUCUAAAGCUCUUAACCGUCCGCUGCCGAGCCGACCUUUUUAAGCCUGUCAGCUCAAAGGCUUGCCGUAUGGAUUUAAAUGAAUGAGUCCACCGCUGGUGGGGGAGGGGUGCAGUUGUUUUGAUGAGAGACUAAAUCACAGAUUGGAUGUUUAUUCCCUGUGAUCUCUGGACCUCUGAAUGGAGAGGCAGUCGGGCCGAGCCUCUGGUAUUAACCCUCACCGAGGUCGCGCGUCUUGUAUUUCAUUCGCGAUCGCUUCGAGGAUCAUUGCCGUUUAAGCUGCACGAGCUUAUAGCCACGUGCAGCAGGCUGCGCACAGCGCGCAGGCCCGCCAAAUAUUUUAUCAUCCGCCGCUUUAAUGGCACGGCGAAGGCUCGCGGGCGUGGUCUCAUCGACGAACAAAGAGGGCACGCGUCCUUCGGAGCGCAGCGGCCUUCGUGGCUCCAAACAUCCCGUCUUGUGUUCACGCGUGCUCCUCCUUUCCACGCCGGACUUUGCCCCUCACCCUUUUUAUGACCUCUCGGCAUACGGACGGCCUGUGCAGCGCCUCACACUGCUACAUACUGUAGCCACUGUUCUUCCUAGGGUUUCAAUUAAACUGAUUUUGCUCUGGCCUGACAGCUUCGGAACUUUUUUGGGGCUAACUCACAUUUUACCACCCCAGAUACACGCACUCACACACUUUCGAAAGUUGAGUGGGCGUACUGGGCGUUUUUCUAUAUGUGACCGCAUGUCCUUCCGCUUCCACUCACUUGGGUCCUGUCCCUCAAGCGCCCGCUGAACCAACAUGGGCCUUUUUAUUUUAUGGAGCUUUGUGCGCUUUUGGUCUGGAAAUAAAUUUCUCCAAAUGGAGUAUGAGUUCUCGCAUAUUGCUGCGGAGGCGCCAAAUGCUAGGUAGGCUAAGUUUGAAAGCUGUCAGUUCACAGAUGAAUAGAUGCGCGUAUAUAUUACCUUGACAGGAACUAACCCUAACCCAAACAAAUAGUAGAACUUUCAGCUCUGUAUAGCAGUUAGAAAUGUGCCUUCAAAUUGCUUGUGUAAUUACGAAAAAAAAGAAAAAACCCAAAUAAUUGGUAACAGUUUGACCAUGGAACAAGCAGUUUGUAUUUACAUUACUGUUUGUCUUUUGCGGGAAAAUGGUCAGCCAUUAUCCCAGAACACGUUGUGCUAAUGAGCGGUUCCACAGUGUGCUUGAUAUGAGCUGUCGUGUCCCCGUGAUUGUCCCAGCAUGUGGGGCGGAACGCUGCCGUCACUUUGGAUGUGGCUAUCCGUCUCAACUAACCACCUCGUGACCCUGCCGACGUGCAGUAGGAAAGCCUCCGACCCCGGUCGCGCUCCGGCACUUAACAAGGAUUUAAUGUCGCCCCCAUCGACCGUCAGCCAGAUGAGAUCAGAGUAGAAGGCCGCGGCGGACCAGACUACACAGCCUCGCACGCAAAGCGCCGCACGACACGAACAACGGCAGAGAAAGCGGCCUAAUCCCACAAUUAGUGUAAUGGCUCUCCACCACUUGUUACAGGGCGACCUCCCAUCGAACCAUAACAUGUUUUCCAGCGUGGUUUCUUUUUUUUUUUUGUCCGGUGAAUGCGAGGUCUAACUUUGUAGCCGUAAUUCCAAAAGGUAUGUUUCAUGAGUCAGUACGGUGGUGACUGGUUAGCACAUCUGACUCACGGUUUCCGCCCACAUCCCCAAAACAUGCAUGCUAGGUUCAUUGAAGACUCUAAAUUGUCCGUAGGUGUGAAUGUGAGUGCGAAAGGUUGUUUGUAUCUCUGUGCCCUGCGAUUGACCAGAUUGGCGACCAGUUCAGGGUGUACCCCGCCUCUCGCCCGACGAUAGCUGGGAUAGGCUCCAGCGCGACCCGCGACCCGCGUGAGGAGAAGCGGUACAGAAGGUGGAUGGAUGGAUGUUUGGCGCUAACACAACGCUGCUCAUCACCAAAACAACGACAUACCUACAGUCAAGCAUGGUGGCAGCAGCUUUCUGUUUUUGUUCUGUUUUUCAGCGGGAUCUGGGGCCUUAGUCACCGUGCAGCAAAUUAUGAACACUUCCAAGUACCAGUUAGUGAGAAAACAAAAACAAAUGUCGGGGAAAACCUACUAGA